Molecule: ribosomal RNA, 431 nt
Filed under: uncultured bacterium
Lineage: Bacteria
Description: bacterial SSU rRNA
Rfam family: Bacterial small subunit ribosomal RNA
Source: RNAcentral
ACGAACGCUGGCGGCAGGCCUAAAACAUGCAAGUCGAACGCUCUAGCAAUAGAGAGUGGCGCACGGGUGCGUAACACGUGGGAAUAUGCCUUUUGGUACGGAACAACGUCUGGAAACGGACGCUAAUACCGUAUGGUCCCUUCGGGGUAAAGAUUUAUCGCCAAAAGAGUAGCCCGCGCUGGAUUAGCUAGUUGGUGAGGUAAUGGCUCACCAAGGCGACGAUCCAUAGCUGGUCUGAGAGGACGAUCAGCCACACUGGGACUGAGACACGGCCCAGACUCCUACGGGAGGCAGCAGUUAGGAAUAUUGGACAAUGGGGGCAACCCUGAUCCAGCCAUGCCGCGUGAGUGAUGAAGGCCUUCGGGUUGUAAAGCUCUUUUACCCGAGAUGAUAAUGACAGUAUCGGGAGAAUAAGCUCCGGCUAACUCCGU